This 251-nucleotide ribosomal RNA is filed under the name uncultured bacterium. RNAcentral's name for it is "partial 16S ribosomal RNA". It matches the Rfam family "Bacterial small subunit ribosomal RNA", at positions 524 to 774 of the family's 1533-position model. The record is from RNAcentral.
UACGAAGGGGGCUAGCGUUGCUCGGAAUCACUGGGCGUAAAGCGCACGUAGGCGGCUUUCUAAGUCGGGGGUGAAAUCCUGGAGCUCAACUCCAGAACUGCCUUCGAUACUGGAGAGCUCGAGUCCGGGAGAGGUGAGUGGAACUGCGAGUGUAGAGGUGAAAUUCGUAGAUAUUCGCAAGAACACCAGUGGCGAAGGCGGCUCACUGGCCCGGUACUGACGCUGAGGUGCGAAAGCGUGGGGAGCAAACA